AUCAAAACAGCCCUUGACAGUGCAGGUGUGUGUUGGUGUUUUUGAGCAGGCGUGUGUGUUCUUCGGACACAGGAGAGAGCUGCCACCGCCGCACUCAGCCCAGUCGAGGACACCAAGGCCAGAGUGAGAGAAGGAGAGAGAGAAGGGACAUAGAGCCAGGUUGCUAAAAAAUAAACUCCUCAGGGUUGUUGGAGAGUUGAUCUGGUUUCUACUGGGAAAAGGUUCUAGAGACCGCUAAGAUGUUUUUCCGCAUCCCUCGACUGACCCCUGGAUACAUCAGAUACUUGCAGACUCAAGCUGCCCAGACCGUGCUGCAGAGCCGGGAAGGGCCCAUGAUGUCGAGGGUGGCCAUGCUGCUAGGACUGAUGGGAGUUGGGAUGUCUGGGUACAGCUCACGACAGCUCACCCUGCACUGCAAGCCCUCCGCUAACCUGCUGAGAUGAGGCAAGACACAACACCUCUGACCUUCCACCUUGAAGACGACAACAUGGAUAAGAUUGAUCACUGGAGCAUAUCCAAUACCCCUGGAUUCCACUUACACUACAAGAAUUUGUAAGUCGCUCUGGAUAAGAGCGUCUGCUAAAUGACUUAAAUGUAAAUGUAAAUGUAAGAAUAAUUAGUCUCUGUUUCCUAAAAAGGUUUUGUUUUAGUUGAGUUUUGAUUUCCCCCAUUCUGGUUGAAGUUUGGGACGAACCAAGUUCAGAUUCUUAUUCUGAAAAGUUUAAUAUUGAAGAUCGAUACUUUAAGGUUCCACAUGCACAGUUAUGACCAUAUAAGGUUAUCCCUCCAUUUAAAAAAAUCUAUAUUCUUUUAAACUACCUCUCCCGUUCAAACCAGUUAAAGUGUUAUUCAUCCAACAUACAUCAAUACAUUCUUAUUGAGCUCUUAAUGUUUUCUUGAGCUGGUAACAUCCUCAACUUUAACCACCCAUUUUAUUUUUGUAAUUCUGUGCCUUAAAGGGAGCGAUCCAUUAAAAUCAGUUUAAAACACCAAAUGGUGUUACCUCACGCUAACCCAAGAAGACCAAAACCCAAGAAAUAAAGACAUCGCAAUGGAGAAAUAUUAAAUAUGUCAAAUAUUUUUCAAAACCUGCCGAAAUUCCCCAGUCCGCCUGUUUAUUGCCAUUCUCUUGUCUGUGUUUGGCAAGGCAUGUAGACAGAGAUUAGCCCCUCUGUUUUAGGGAAAGGUAUCCAGUGUUUUCCUGAAUAAUGUCACGAGUGGCAGGGAAGGAGAGCGAAAUCAAAAUGGUAGAAUCUUGGAACUCGGAGAAUCCAGUUGGUCAUAGGGUUUAUAAAAAUGUUUUUUUUUUUGUCUGUUAUCAUCAAUGCUCUUGAUUCUGGAGACAAGAUUCCUUCAUUUGGUACUUGCUUUACUUUCUUUGUCUGCUAUGUUUGCAUGCAAAGAAAUACAGGAAAAAUCCUUUGACCAAGAUUCAAAAUGUACUCAACCGACCUGCUUCCAAUUGUAUUUUCUAAUGUCUUUUUUUAUUUGAUCAAGCCCAACUUUUUUUCCAUUGAACCUUUUUGAUUUUGCACAGUGAAAAGAUUGAUAUUUUUACAUACAUUCUUUUCACCAAAACACUCUGACACUUUGCACUUUUUAAAGAAUGUAUGUGUGUGUACAUAAUAUGUACAUAUGUGAAUUAUUCAAGAUUGAAGAGAUUAGUAGAUGGUUAAGUGACAUGGAAAGUGACGCCAGAUUGGUUUGAGAACUAGUCUGGGUGGAAUCCAGCUGGAUUCACACACGGCACCACAGUUUGGUAUCAGGCAUCCAGGACAGCCACCCUGGAUGGACCUCACUGGACGAAUGCCACCGUAUGUGUGAAUUCACCGAGAUUCCUCCAAGUUGUCCUCCAUGUUUGUCAGAAUUGGGAUGUUUAGAUUAAUGGCCAUAUGGUCUCUUAACAUAGCUAGCAUGAAAUACUAUUUAUAUUUCCUUUAGAUUCAGAACAUGCAGUACACACUUUGUAAUAAGGGAAAUAACUUUAACACGACAGCAUAUGAAUGUAUCACCGACACAAUGAAUGUUUCUUAGUGGUAUACUGUAAUUGUAAACAUGAACGUACUGUAGGUUACUGUGUCAUAACCAUGGGAUCCCACUAGUCUGGUUUAGGGGAAACAGUGGAUGUAACCAGACCUUAGAUUUACACUGGAUUCUCCAAUAGAACAGAUUACCAUGCCGUUGGUAGUUGUCCAGUGAUCCAGUGGUCUUCCGGUGAUCCAGUAGUCUUCCGGUGAUCCAGUGAACUUCCAGUGAUCCAAUUAGGAGAAGUGUCUCUUUUAUGUCCAGCUUCACCAGUAUAAAGGGUUAGUGACCCUAAAUAGUGACCCUAAAUAGAGACCCAGACCAGUGAGAGGAACAUAGUAGGAGUUCUGAAACCCCUAGUUUAUCUUAGUCAAUGUAAUGUUACAUGAACUUGGUGAAGAACUGAGACAGAAUUCAAUUCGGAACAUGAUUGAUAUUGAAAACUGCAAUGGGGGAGUGAUGUUAUCUCAUACACAGUGUAAAGGGUCAUUGCUGUUUAAUAGGUAUAGUACACUACAGUGCUGUUUGUUUUACACGGUUACAUUUCAUACCAAAAGGCUUACAAUAGGCCUAUCUUUGUAUUGUUGCUAAAUGUAACAAUGUUGUUUAGGAAUGCCAUAGUGAACUGAAGAAUUAUGACUGCUUCACAAAGCACCCUUGAAUGUCUAUUCAUGUUUAUUUUUAUGAUACAGCAUGUAUCAAUACUAUGAAUAAAAACCUAUAAACGGA
Oncorhynchus gorbuscha (pink salmon) is the source of this 2754-nucleotide long non-coding RNA. RefSeq lists it as uncharacterized. The record is from RefSeq and is a predicted model, not a curated record. NCBI's taxonomy places the organism in Eukaryota, Metazoa, Chordata, Actinopteri, Salmoniformes, Salmonidae. The transcript is spliced from 2 exons.